GAUGAACGUAGCGAAAUGCGAUAAGUAAUGUGAAUUGCAGAAUUCAGUGAAUCAUCGAAUCUUUGAACGCAUCUUGCGCUCCUUGGUAUUCCUUGGAGCAUGCCUGUUUGAGUAUCAUGAGCAAAUCUCAAAGUCAAUUCCUUUUGUUAAUUCAAUUGGUUUUGCUUUGGACUUGGAGGUCUUGCAGAUUUUCACAGUCUGCUCCUCUUAAAUGCAUUAGCUGGAUCUCAGUAAUUAUGCUUGGUUCCACUCGGCGUGAUAAGUAUCACUCGCUGAGGACACUGUUAAAAAGGUGGCCAGGAAAAUACUGAUUGAACCGCUUCUAACGGUCUAUUAAGUUAGACAAUUACCCUUAAGUUUGAUCUCAAAUCAGGUAGGACUACCCGCUGAACUUAAGCAUAUCAAUAAGCGGAGGA
This 416-nucleotide unclassified non-coding RNA is filed under the name soil metagenome. RNAcentral's name for it is "partial contains 5.8S ribosomal RNA, internal transcribed spacer 2, and large subunit ribosomal RNA". The stretch from base 1 to 117 matches the Rfam family "5.8S ribosomal RNA", at positions 38 to 154 of the family's 154-position model. The record is from RNAcentral.